CGGAAAAAGUGUGUUGGCGAUGCA
Molecule: non-coding RNA, 24 nt
Filed under: Arabidopsis thaliana (thale cress)
Lineage: Eukaryota; Viridiplantae; Streptophyta; Magnoliopsida; Brassicales; Brassicaceae
Source: RNAcentral